AGUGAACGCUGGCGGUAGGCCUAACACAUGCAAGUCGAACGGCAGCACAGUAAGAGCUUGCUCUUAAGGGUGGCGAGUGGCGGACGGGUGAGGAAUACAUCGGAAUCUACUUUUUCGUGGGGGAUAACGUAGGGAAACUUACGCUAAUACCGCAUACGACCUACGGGUGAAAGCAGGGGUUCUUCGGACCUUGCGCGAUUGAAUGAGCCGAUGUCGGAUUAGCUAGUUGGCGGGGUAAAGGCCCACCAAGGCGACGAUCCGUAGCUGGUCUGGGAGGAUGAUCAGCCACACUGGAACUGAGACACGGUCCAGACUCCUACGGGAGGCAGCAGUGGGGAAUAUUGGACAAUGGGCGCAAGCCUGAUCCAGCCAUACCGCGUGGGUGAAGAAGGCCUUCGGGUUGUAAAGCCCUUUUGUUGGGAAAGAAAAGCAGCAGGUUAAUACCCCGCUGUUCUGACGGUACCCAAAGAAUAAGCACCGGCUAACUUCGUG
RNAcentral lists this ribosomal RNA (492 nucleotides) under uncultured bacterium. RNAcentral's name for it is "partial 16S ribosomal RNA". It matches the Rfam family "Bacterial small subunit ribosomal RNA", at positions 29 to 507 of the family's 1533-position model. The record is from RNAcentral.